RNAcentral lists this long non-coding RNA (507 nucleotides) under Gigantopelta aegis. RNAcentral's name for it is "uncharacterized LOC121380784, transcript variant X1". The record is from RNAcentral. Lineage: Eukaryota; Metazoa; Mollusca; Gastropoda; Neomphalida; Peltospiridae.
CAACAACAACAACAAAAACCCAACCAACACCAGGGUUUCGUUUCAUCUUAAUUUAUUUACCCUGUGCUGGUUUCUUCUCGUUUCAGUGUGUCAGGUGAUGUUGAGCACCGCCUGUCACUGCGGCAGCAGCUGCUGUUGUCACUCCCACCACAGCAGCAGCGUCAGUCUCAAGCACGGCGGCCACCACAGCACUCUCGGCUGAUUCCGGUUGGGUUUUGGCGUCAAGUAAACGCAAAGAACAGUGAGUCAGCUGAAUGCUGCCCAGCAUGGCGAAGAACGCAGUAGUUCGGGUGACAAUGAACAACAAACCAGCGGCCUCGUAAUCAAAAGCAAGGACUACCUGUUAAAUGGAGACCAAUUCUUCGGAUUUACCGUCAUAGGAGGGUUAAACCGGAAGUGAAGCUUCCAAGAACGUUUGAGGAAUGUCUGUAUGGCAGAAGUGAUUGUGUUGUUGUUGUUGUUAUUGUUACGUGUAUUGAAUUAUUGAAAUAAAAAGUGUUAAUGGUA